UACGUAGGUGACAAGCGUUGUCCGGAUUUACUGGGUGUAAAGAGCGCGCAGGCGGUCGAUCAAGUCGAGUGUGAAAGCCCCCGGCUCAACUGGGGAGGGUCAUUCGAUACUGAUCGACUCGAAGGCAGGAGAGGGUAGUGGAAUUCCCGGUGUAGUGGUGAAAUGCGUAGAGAUCCGGAGGAACCCCAGAGGCGAAGGCGGCGCCCUGGCUCGCAACUGACGCUCAGACACGACAGCAUGGGGAGCGAACGGG
This 253-nucleotide ribosomal RNA is filed under the name uncultured bacterium. RNAcentral describes it as "partial 16S ribosomal RNA". It matches the Rfam family "Bacterial small subunit ribosomal RNA", at positions 524 to 776 of the family's 1533-position model. The record is from RNAcentral.